RNAcentral lists this transfer RNA (73 nucleotides) under Physella acuta. RNAcentral's name for it is "tRNA-Glu". The record is from RNAcentral. Lineage: Eukaryota; Metazoa; Mollusca; Gastropoda; Physidae.
GUUUAAGUAGUGAGAAGAAACACACUAUCUUUUCGAGAUAGAGAUGUAUUGUAUAUUUACAAUACCUUAAAUA